CCAUGCAAGUCGAGCGGGCGUAGCAAUACGUCAGCGGCAGACGGGUGAGUAACGCGUGGGAACGUACCUUUUGGUUCGGAACAACACAGGGAAACUUGUGCUAAUACCGGAUAAGCCCUUACGGGGAAAGAUUUAUCGCCGAAAGAUCGGCCCGCGUCUGAUUAGCUAGUUGGUGAGGUAACGGCUCACCAAGGCGACGAUCAGUAGCUGGUCUGAGAGGAUGAUCAGCCACAUUGGGACUGAGAUACGGCCCAAACUCCUACGGGAGGCAGCAGUGGGGAAUAUUGGACAAUGGGCGCAAGCCUGAUCCAGCCAUGCCCCGUGAGUGAUGAAGGACCUAGGGUUGUAAAGCUCUUUUGUGCGGGAG
This 367-nucleotide ribosomal RNA is filed under the name uncultured bacterium. Its description in RNAcentral is "bacterial SSU rRNA". It matches the Rfam family "Bacterial small subunit ribosomal RNA", at positions 53 to 446 of the family's 1533-position model. The record is from RNAcentral.